GAUGAACGCUAGCUACAGGCUUAACACAUGCAAGUCGAGGGGAAACGACAUCGAAAGCUUGCUUUUGAUGGGCGUCGACCGGCGCACGGGUGAGUAACGCGUAUCCAACCUGCCCAUCACUUGGGGAUAACCUUGCGAAAGUAAGACUAAUACCCAAUGAUAUCUCUAGAAGACAUCUGAAAGAGAUUAAAGAUUUAUCGGUGAUGGAUGGGGAUGCGUCUGAUUAGCUUGUUGGCGGGGUAACGGCCCACCAAGGCAACGAUCAGUAGGGGUUCUGAGAGGAAGGUCCCCCACAUUGGAACUGAGACACGGUCCAAACUCCUACGGGAGGCAGCAGUGAGGAAGAUUGGUCAAGGGGCGAGAGCCUGAACCAGCCAAGUAGCGUGCAGGAAGACGGCCCUAUGGGUUGUAAACUGCUUUUAUAAGGGAAUAAAGUGAGAGUCGUGACUCUUUUUGUAUGUACCUUAUGAAUAAGGACCGGCUAAUUCCGUG
Molecule: ribosomal RNA, 492 nt
Filed under: uncultured bacterium
Lineage: Bacteria
Description: partial 16S ribosomal RNA
Rfam family: Bacterial small subunit ribosomal RNA
Source: RNAcentral